ACACCAUCAACAUGUCUAGGAUCAGGUGGUGAUGUAAUCUACACCAUCAACAUGUCUAGGAUCAGGUGUUGUAAUCUACACCAUCAACAUGUCUAGGAUCAGGUGGUGAUGUAAUCUACACCAUCAACAUGUCUAGGAUCAGGUGGUGUUGUAAUCUACACCAUCAACAUGUCUAGGAUCAGGUGGUGAUGUAAUCUACACCAUCAACAUGUCUAGGAUCAGGUGGUGUAAUCUACACCAUCAACAUGUCUAGGAUCAGGUGAUAUAAUCUACACCAUCAACAUGUCUAGGAUCAGGUGGUGAUGUAAUCUACACCAUCAACAUGUCUAGGAUCAGGUGAUGUAAUCUACACCAUCAACAUGUCUAGGAUCAGGUGAUGUAAUGAACGUCAGAUAAAUGAACUAUACACUUCUUAUUACUCUUCAUCCUCAUCAUGGCACAAUACAAAGUCUGAGAAAACAUGGCCACAGAAAUACACAACAAUGUCCUCAAUCACAAUGUCACAUUUCUUUGAAGAUUAAAAUGUAACUAAGUCUUCUGGCAAAAAAAUAAUUAAAACACGAUAGUUUUACUCAGUGGUCAAAACAACAUCAAAGACUUCUCUCCAACCCCCCCCCCCAAAAACAAAACAAAAAUUAGGACACGAUAUGUUGUUAGUCAAUCUAGUCAAUCUUUCACUGCCUUUUAAUACAAAAAUAAGAGAGACAAAUAUAAAUUAAUAUAUAUUAAAAGAGUCAAGCAGGUACAUGGGUCAGACAGGUUGUCACAAGAGAGGAGAGGAGGCACUGAGGGGUUUAACCUAAUUACUACCUUAACAAAACUACACAAUCUACGUGUGUGUGUGUGUGUGUGUGUGUGUGUGUGUGUGUUUUGGGUGGAGGUUGUCACAGGAGAGGAGAGGAGACACGGGGCUGUGGGGUUUAACCUAAUUACUACCUUAACAAAACUACACCAUCUACGUGUGUGUGUGUUGUGUGGAUGAAAGGGUUCCCUCCGUCUCCCCCCUGACCUGAGACCAGAACACCUCCCCCCGGUGGUGAGUGUGUAGUACUACGGUUAAUAGGGGGACUCCUACAACACAGGAAACAGGAAGAACACAACAGGAAGUGGUCGUCCGUCAGUGGGGAACCCCGUUCGUCUUCAUGAGUCUUGUUGAGUUUUUAAGUCUUUUUUCUCCGUUUGAUAAUAAAAAUAAGUCAUUUUUUUUGUUGUAUUUUACAAUAUAAUUCAACAUCUCCUCUGAGGCAGUGAGCCCACAGUCCAGCGCUGGCAAUAUUUUUGUUGUUGUAGUUUCUUUGUUUCGUCUUGACUUUUUUGGGGGGGGUUUACAAAAAGAAGAGGGAUGAGGUCAGAGGAGGAGAGGGGAGGGGGAUGAGGUCGGAGGAGGAGAGGGGAGGGGGAUGAG
Molecule: long non-coding RNA, 1405 nt
Organism: Oncorhynchus tshawytscha (Chinook salmon)
Lineage: Eukaryota; Metazoa; Chordata; Actinopteri; Salmoniformes; Salmonidae
Source: Ensembl